RNAcentral lists this unclassified non-coding RNA (240 nucleotides) under soil metagenome. RNAcentral's name for it is "partial contains 5.8S ribosomal RNA, internal transcribed spacer 2, and large subunit ribosomal RNA". The record is from RNAcentral.
AACCAUUCUCACCUGCGGCUAGACCUGCGGAAGGAUCAUUACGAGAGUGUCACCACUCCCAACCCAUUGUUUACCUACCCGUCCACCGUGCUUCGGCAGGCAGCCCUGUGGGACAGAGCCUCGCCCCCUUUCGCGGGGGGUGCCUGCCGCUUGCCAACCAAAACUCUAGCUGUUUUAGUACCAUCUGAGUCUUCCACAAAUGAACAAAACUUUCAGCAACGGAUCUCAGAUCGGAAGAGC